UACGUAGGGUGCGAGCGUUGUCCGGAAUUACUGGGCGUAAAGGGCUCGUAGGUGGCCAACUAAGUCAGACGUGAAAUCCCUCGGCUUAACCGGGGAACUGCGUCUGAUACUGGAUGGCUUGAGUUUGGGAGAGGGAUGCGGAAUUCCAGGUGUAGCGGUGAAAUGCGUAGAUAUCUGGAGGAAUACCGGUGGCGAAGGCGGCAUUCUGGACCGACAUUGACGCUGAGGAGCGAAAGCCAGGGGAGCAAACGGG
Molecule: ribosomal RNA, 253 nt
Filed under: uncultured bacterium
Lineage: Bacteria
Description: partial 16S ribosomal RNA
Rfam family: Bacterial small subunit ribosomal RNA
Source: RNAcentral